This 28-nucleotide non-coding RNA is filed under the name Homo sapiens (human). The record is from RNAcentral. Lineage: Eukaryota; Metazoa; Chordata; Mammalia; Primates; Hominidae.
UGAGGGCUGUGUCAUGGGCCAUGGUCAA